AAACAAAUCCGACUAGGAACCAUGAGAUUGCAGAUUCGAUCCCUGGCCUUGCUCAUUGGGUUAAGGAUCUGGCGUUGCUGUGGCUGUGGCGUAGGCCGGCAGUAACAGCUCUGAUUAGACCCCUAGCCUGAGAACCUCCACAUGUCAUGGGUGCGGCCCUAAAAGGAUAAAAGACAAAUAAAAUAAAAUAAAAUAAAAUAAAAUAAAAUACACUAACAAAACCUCGAUAAGCUCAUCUUGUCAUGGAUUGGAGACAUAAUUGGGUCAAGUUCAUAACUGAGUCAAGUUCAUGUGUUCACCAAGUAGGCAUAAACUAUAUCCAUGAUGAGCUGGUGUUGUGCAUGGGAUUAAGGGGCUAAGGUGCCCUCCCCAGAGUAAUGCCAAUUAAUCAUUUUCAUCCCUAUUAAAAUUGGGGACUGAACCUCUGUAAAGUCCAAACAUUUACCAACCAACUCAGUCGACUGCUGCCUUGACAGCUAAGCUGAUCUUUGCUUUUUGAUUUCUUAAUCUGAAAAAUACGAGAAAUUGUUUAGCUCACUGGAGGAGCUAUUAGGAAUGUUUUUAUUGCUCCUAAGGUGUGGUGUCUUAGAAACCUCAAGGCCCAGUGGUACACGCAGUACAUAAGACAGGGCAGCAGGAACCCAGAUUUCUAGGCCUGUCUCUGCCAGCAUCCAGCUGUGUGACUUUGGACUCAUCACCUCACCCUUCUGGGCUUAACGCUGACAGCAAGUGAGUGUUCCUUCCAUGUCUAAUACAUCAAAGAUGGAGAGAUGCUUGGAGCAUCAGAGUUUCAAUCUUCUGUCCGCAGAGAAGCUUCUUCCUCUCACUUAAGGCCAUUUUAACCUUUCUCUCACCAGAUUCUAGGCUGUUUGGCUGUUUCGUCCGGAUCUGUCAAGAAGGCACCAGGAAAGACCAUUCCCAGACUGGAAGCCAAGGGCAACCCUGGAAUUGUGAGACCCAAAGCCCAGGGCCCAUCACCUACAAGGAGAAUGAAGACCCAUGACUUGGCCUAUAAGGUCUUCAAUCAUCUGACCGACCACCUGAUGAAGAGUUUCAGCUAUUCUUGGAAGGACAGAUUGAGGCCAGAUACUGAUGGACCUUGAAUGCCGGGUUGAGGAGCUU
This 1122-nucleotide long non-coding RNA is filed under the name Sus scrofa (pig). Its description in RNAcentral is "lncRNA (ENSSSCG00060010122.1)". The record is from RNAcentral. Lineage: Eukaryota; Metazoa; Chordata; Mammalia; Artiodactyla; Suidae.